This 1372-nucleotide ribosomal RNA is filed under the name uncultured bacterium. Its description in RNAcentral is "bacterial SSU rRNA". It matches the Rfam family "Bacterial small subunit ribosomal RNA", at positions 28 to 1381 of the family's 1533-position model. The record is from RNAcentral.
GAUGAACGCUGGCGGCGUGCCUAAUACAUGCAAGUCGAGCGAACAGACGAGGAGCUUGCUCCUUUGACGUUAGCGGCGGACGGGUGAGUAACACGUGGGUAACCUACCUAUAAGACUGGGAUAACUUCGGGAAACCGGAGCUAAUACCGGAUAAUAUUUCGAACCGCAUGGUUCGAUAGUGAAAGAUGGCUUUGCUAUCACUUAUAGAUGGACCUGCGCCGUAUUAGCUAGUUGGUAAGGUAACGGCUUACCAAGGCAACGAUACGUAGCCGACCUGAGAGGGUGAUCGGCCACACUGGAACUGAGACACGGUCCAGACUCCUACGGGAGGCAGCAGUAGGGAAUCUUCCGCAAUGGGCGAAAGCCUGACGGAGCAACGCCGCGUGAGUGAUGAAGGUCUUCGGAUCGUAAAACUCUGUUAUUAGGGAAGAACAAACGUGUAAGUAACUGUGCACGUCUUGACGGUACCUAAUCAGAAAGCCACGGCUAACUACGUGCCAGCAGCCGCGGUAAUACGUAGGUGGCAAGCGUUAUCCGGAAUUAUUGGGCGUAAAGCGCGCGUAGGCGGUUUUUUAAGUCUGAUGUGAAAGCCCACGGCUCAACCGUGGAGGGUCAUUGGAAACUGGAAAACUUGAGUGCAGAAGAGGAAAGUGGAAUUCCAUGUGUAGCGGUGAAAUGCGCAGAGAUAUGGAGGAACACCAGUGGCGAAGGCGACUUUCUGGUCUGUAACUGACGCUGAUGUGCGAAAGCGUGGGGAUCAAACAGGAUUAGAUACCCUGGUAGUCCACGCCGUAAACGAUGAGUGCUAAGUGUUAGGGGGUUUCCGCCCCUUAGUGCUGCAGCUAACGCAUUAAGCACUCCGCCUGGGGAGUACGACCGCAAGGUUGGAACUCAAAGGAAUUGACGGGGACCCGCACAAGCGGUGGAGCAUGUGGUUUAAUUCGAAGCAACGCGAAGAACCUUACCAAAUCUUGACAUCCUUUGACCCUUCUAGAGAUAGAAGUUUCCCCUUCGGGGGACAAAGUGACAGGUGGUGCAUGGUUGUCGUCAGCUCGUGUCGUGAGAUGUUGGGUUAAGUCCCGCAACGAGCGCAACCCUUAAGCUUAGUUGCCAUCAUUAAGUUGGGCACUCUAAGUUGACUGCCGGUGACAAACCGGAGGAAGGUGGGGAUGACGUCAAAUCAUCAUGCCCCUUAUGAUUUGGGCUACACACGUGCUACAAUGGACAAUACAAAGGGCAGCGAAACCGCGAGGUCAAGCAAAUCCCAUAAAGUUGUUCUCAGUUCGGAUUGUAGUCUGCAACUCGACUACAUGAAGCUGGAAUCGCUAGUAAUCGUAGAUCAGCAUGCUACGGUGAAUACGUUCCCGGGUCU